This 743-nucleotide ribosomal RNA is filed under the name Vibrio alginolyticus. RNAcentral's name for it is "bacterial SSU rRNA". It matches the Rfam family "Bacterial small subunit ribosomal RNA", at positions 78 to 815 of the family's 1533-position model. Lineage: Bacteria; Pseudomonadati; Pseudomonadota; Gammaproteobacteria; Vibrionales; Vibrionaceae. The record is from RNAcentral.
GAUAACGGCGUCGUAGCGGCGGACGGGUGAGUAAUGCCUAGGAAAUUGCCCUGAUGUGGGGGAUAACCAUUGGAAACGAUGGCUAAUACCGCAUAAUGCCUACGGGCCAAAGAGGGGGACCUUCGGGCCUCUCGCGUCAGGAUAUGCCUAGGUGGGAUUAGCUAGUUGGUGAGGUAAGGGCUCACCAAGGCGACGAUCCCUAGCUGGUCUGAGAGGAUGAUCAGCCACACUGGAACUGAGACACGGUCCAGACUCCUACGGGAGGCAGCAGUGGGGAAUAUUGCACAAUGGGCGCAAGCCUGAUGCAGCCAUGCCGCGUGUGUGAAGAAGGCCUUCGGGUUGUAAAGCACUUUCAGUCGUGAGGAAGGUAGUGUAGUUAAUAGCUGCAUUAUUUGACGUUAGCGACAGAAGAAGCACCGGCUAACUCCGUGCCAGCAGCCGCGGUAAUACGGAGGGUGCGAGCGUUAAUCGGAAUUACUGGGCGUAAAGCGCAUGCAGGUGGUUUGUUAAGUCAGAUGUGAAAGCCCGGGGCUCAACCUCGGAAUUGCAUUUGAAACUGGCAGACUAGAGUACUGUAGAGGGGGGGUAGAAUUUCAGGUGUAGCGGUGAAAUGCGUAGAGAUCUGAAGGAAUACCGGUGGCGAAAGGCGGCCCCCUGGACAGAUACUGACACUCAGAUGCGAAAGCGUGGGGAGCAAACAGGGAUUAGAUACCCUGGUAGUCCACGCCCGUAAACGAUGUCUA